Molecule: ribosomal RNA, 465 nt
Filed under: uncultured bacterium
Lineage: Bacteria
Description: partial 16S ribosomal RNA
Rfam family: Bacterial small subunit ribosomal RNA
Source: RNAcentral
GACGAACGCUGGCGGCGUGCUUAACACAUGCAAGUCGAACGGAAAGGCCCUGCUUGCAGGGUACUCGAGUGGCGAACGGGUGAGUAACACGUGGGUGAUCUGCCCUGCACUUCGGGAUAAGCCUGGGAAACUGGGUCUAAUACCGGAUAGGAGCCAUUUUUAGUGUGAUGGUUGGAAAGUUUUUUCGGUGUAGGAUGAGCUCGCGGCCUAUCAGCUUGUUGGUGGGGUAAUGGCCUACCAAGGCGGCGACGGGUAGCCGGCCUGAGAGGGUGGACGGCCACAGUGGGACUGGGAUAAGGCCCAGACUCCUACGGGAGGCAGCAGUGGGGAAUAUUGCACAAUGGGCGCAAGCCUGAUGCAGCGACGCCGCGUGGGGGAUGACGGCCUUCGGGUUGGAAACUCCUUUCGCUAGGGACGAAGCUUUUUGUGACGGUACCUAGAUAAGAAGCACCGGCUAACUACGUG